CAUCCUACGGGACGCAGCAGUGGGGAAUAUUGGGCAAUGAGGGGAACCCUGACCCAGCGACGCCGCGUGAGGGAAGAAGGUUUUCGGAUUGUAAACCUCUGUCCUUGGUGACGAUAAUGACGGUAGCCAAGGAGGAAGCCACGGCUAACUACGUGCCAGCAGCCGCGGUAAUACGUAGGUGGCGAGCGUUGUCCGGAAUUACUGGGUGUAAAGGGAGCGUAGGCGGGAGAGCAAGUCGCAUGUGAAAUCUAUGGGCUUAAC
RNAcentral lists this ribosomal RNA (261 nucleotides) under uncultured bacterium. Its description in RNAcentral is "partial 16S ribosomal RNA". It matches the Rfam family "Bacterial small subunit ribosomal RNA", at positions 335 to 613 of the family's 1533-position model. The record is from RNAcentral.